RNAcentral lists this ribosomal RNA (680 nucleotides) under Chionocharis hookeri. Its description in RNAcentral is "eukaryotic LSU rRNA". The stretch from base 272 to 427 matches the Rfam family "5.8S ribosomal RNA". Lineage: Eukaryota; Viridiplantae; Streptophyta; Magnoliopsida; Boraginales; Boraginaceae. The record is from RNAcentral.
CAAGGUUUCCGUAGGUGAACCUGCGGAAGGAUCAUUGUCGAAUCCUGCAUAGCAGUACCACUCGCGAACAAGUUCACAAACAUAGGACCUAAUCAAUUGUAGGGAAUUCCUUGCGUUUGAUUUGUACCUAACGGUGCCUUGGCAAUUUGCUUUGGUGCUUAACAAACCCCCGGCGUGAGAAGCGCCAAGGUAUACUCUAAUAAGGGCUUUAUCCAUCCUCUCCCGUUUGCGGGAUAAAGAGGAUUGGAGACAGCUUCUUCUAAUCUAAAACGACUCUCGGCAACGGAUAUCUCGGCUCUCGCAUCGAUGAAGAACGUAGCGAAAUGCGAUACUUGGUGUGAAUUGCAGAAUCCCGUGAACCAUCGAGUCUUUGAACGCAAGUUGCGCCUGAAGCCAUUAGGCUAAGGGCACGUCUGCCUGGGCGUCACACAUCGCGUCACCCCUCCAAUUAUGUUGGAUGUGGUGGAAUAUGACCUCCUGUGCCUUGUGGUGCUGUUGGUCGAAAAUUGAGUCCGGAGCUUAGGAUGUCACGGCAAGUGGUGGUUGGAUAACAACUUGCGUCCUGUCGUGUGCCGAACCUCUUGUGAUUGAAAACUCCCUAAUGCACAUCUACCCUCCUCUUGGAGUUGGGAGUUGUGUUAUGACUGCGACCCCAGGUCAGGCGGGAUUACCCGCUGAAU